GCUGGGAUAGCUCAGUUGACAGAGCAUGAGACUUUUAAUCUCAGGGUUGUGGGUUCAGGCCCCAUGUUGGGCA
Podarcis lilfordi (Lilford's wall lizard) is the source of this 73-nucleotide non-coding RNA. The record is from the annotation of a GenBank genome assembly. Lineage: Eukaryota; Metazoa; Chordata; Lepidosauria; Squamata; Lacertidae.